UAUACCGUGAAACUGCGAAUGGCUCAUUAAAUCAGUUAUCGUUUAUUUGAUAGUACCUUACUACUUGGAUAACCGUGGUAAUUCUAGAGCUAAUACAUGCUUACAACCUCGACUUCGGAAGGGGUGUAUUUAUUAGAUAAAAAACCAACGCCCUUCGGGGCUUCUUGGUGAUUCAUGAUAACUUUGCGGAUCGCAUGGCCUUGCGCUAGCGACGGUUCAUUCAAAUUUCUGCCCUAUCAACUUUCGAUGGUAAGGUAUUGGCUUACCAUGGUUUCAACGGGUAACGGGGAAUUAGGGUUCGAUUCCGGAGAGGGAGCCUGAGAAACGGCUACCACAUCCAAGGAAGGCAGCAGGCGCGCAAAUUACCCAAUCCCAAUACGGGGAGGUAGUGACAAUAAAUACUGAUACAGGGCUCUUUUGGGUCUUGUAAUUGGAAUGAGUACAAUUUAAACCUCUUAACGAGGAACAAUUGGAGGGCAAGUCUGGUGCCAGCAGCCGCGGUAAUUCCAGCUCCAAUAGCGUAUAUUAAAGUUGUUGCAGUUAAAAAGCUCGUAGUUGAACCUUGGGUCUGGCUGGCAGGUCCGCCUCACCGCGUGUACUUGUCCGGCCGGGCCUUCCUUCUGGAGAACCUCAUGCCCUUCACUGGGCGUGUUGGGGACCAGGACUUUUACUUUGAAAAAAUUAGAGUGUUCAAAGCAUGCCUUUGCUCGAAUACGUUAGCAUGGAAUAAUAGAAUAGGACGUGCGGUCCUAUUUUGUUGGUUUCUAGGACCGCCGUAAUGAUUAAUAGGGACAGUCGGGGGCAUCAGUAUUCAAUUGUCAGAGGUGAAAUUCUUGGAUUUAUUGAAGACUAACUACUGCGAAAGCAUUUGCCAAGGAUGUUUUCAUUAAUCAGUGAACGAAAGUUAGGGGAUCGAAGACGAUCAGAUACCGUCGUAGUCUUAACCGUAAACUAUGCCGACUAGGGAUCGGGCGAUGUUAUUUUUCUGACUCGCUCGGCACCUUACGAGAAAUCAAAGUUUUUGGG
Molecule: ribosomal RNA, 1026 nt
Filed under: Rubroshiraia bambusae
Lineage: Eukaryota; Fungi; Ascomycota; Dothideomycetes; Pleosporales; Shiraiaceae
Description: SSU rRNA
Rfam family: Eukaryotic small subunit ribosomal RNA
Source: RNAcentral